This 501-nucleotide ribosomal RNA is filed under the name uncultured Fusobacterium sp. RNAcentral's name for it is "partial 16S ribosomal RNA". Lineage: Bacteria; Fusobacteriati; Fusobacteriota; Fusobacteriia; Fusobacteriales; Fusobacteriaceae. The record is from RNAcentral.
CACGUAUUUAGCCGUCACUUCUUCUGUUGGUACCGUCAUUUUUUCUUCCCAACUGAAAGCACGUUACAUUCCGAAAAACUUCAUCGUGCACACAGAAUUGCUGGAUCAGACUCUUGGUCCAUUGUCCAAUAUUCCCCACUGCUGCCUCCCGUAGGAGUAAGGGCCGUGUCUCAGUCCCCUUGUGGCCGAUCACCCUCUCAGGCCGGCUACCCAUCAUCGCCUUGGUGAGCCGUUACCUCUCCAACUAGCUAAUGGGACGCAAAGCUCUCUCACAGCGCAUAUAGCUUUCAUAAUUCUAGGAUGCCCUAAAAUCAUAAUAUCAGGUAUUAGCAUUCGUUUCCAAAUGUUGUCCCUAUCUGUGAGGCAAGUUCUUUACGCGUUACUCACCCGUCCGCCACCCAAACCGAGUUCAAGUUGACUUGCAUGUGUUAGCAUUCUGUCAGCGUUCAUCCUGAGCCAAGGAACUCUAACUGUACGUACGUAGACCUAGGCCAAGGACCG